GGAACGGGCCUUUCAGGCAUCCUCUCCUAAACUUUCAAGGGUCGGUCCUUCGGGGCCGGCCCUUUUUUCUUGCCCUC
RNAcentral lists this small RNA (77 nucleotides) under Sphingomonas jejuensis. RNAcentral describes it as "suhB". It matches the Rfam family "Makes More Granules Regulator RNA (mmgR)". Rfam says of the family: SuhB later renamed mmgR (makes more granules regulator) was a putative non-coding RNA found multiple times in the Agrobacterium tumefaciens genome and related alpha-proteobacteria. Lineage: Bacteria; Pseudomonadati; Pseudomonadota; Alphaproteobacteria; Sphingomonadales; Sphingomonadaceae. The record is from RNAcentral.